RNAcentral lists this ribosomal RNA (460 nucleotides) under uncultured bacterium. RNAcentral describes it as "partial 16S ribosomal RNA". It matches the Rfam family "Bacterial small subunit ribosomal RNA", at positions 338 to 795 of the family's 1533-position model. The record is from RNAcentral.
CCUACGGGCGGCAGCAGUGGGGAAUAUUGCGCAAUGGGCGCAAGCCUGAACCAGCCAAGUCGCGUGAAGGAUGACUGCCCUAUGGGUUGUAAACUUCUUUUAUAUGGGAAUAAAAUGUUCCACGUGUGGGAUUUUGUAUGUACCAUAUGAAUAAUGAUCGGCUAACUCCGUGCCAGCAGCAGCGGUAAUACGGAGGAUCCGAUCGUUAUCCGGAUUUAUUUGGUUUAAAGGGAGCGUCGGUGGAUUGUUAAGUCAGUUGUGAAAGUUUGCGGCUCAACCGUAAAAUUGCGGUUGAUACUGGCAGGCUUGAGUACAGUAGAGGUGGGCAGAAUUCGUGGUGUAGCGGUGAAAUGCUUAGAUAUCACGAAGAACUCCGAUGGCGAAGGCAGCUCACUGGACUACAACUGACACUGAGGCUCGAAAGUGUGGGUAUCAAACAGGAUUAGAUACCCUGGUAGUC